AUCGCUUCUCGGCCUUUUGGCUAAGAUCAAGUGUAGUAUAGCUCGUCUUUACAGCCAUGAAAUUGGUUAAAACCAUGAAAGCAUU
RNAcentral lists this small nuclear RNA (85 nucleotides) under Fukomys damarensis (Damara mole-rat). RNAcentral describes it as "U2 spliceosomal RNA". Lineage: Eukaryota; Metazoa; Chordata; Mammalia; Rodentia; Bathyergidae. The record is from Rfam by way of RNAcentral.